UGACUAUUAGAACAAGCAGGAAUAGAAAGAGAAGCAUUACAUUAAAGGGAAACAAGUAUUUUAAAGAAAUGGAAUCUAUUGUUAAGAAAUCAUCAGCCACUCAUUCUCAGUCCUGGGCUGCUUUCCUCACUCUCUGCAUGACUUAUAAUAUUCAUCUGAAAGCUUAAAAAUUACAUUUCUUUCACAUCUCCCCCCACCCCACGUUGAUUUCUCCCACUGUGUUACUAAUCAAAAGGAAAUUAACAUGACUGUUGAGGGUUACUUUCUUGCUUGUAAACCUAUGUUAUCAGUAGCAUCACUCUCGUAGAAUACUGUAUCAUUUGGUAGAUAAAUAGUGUAUAAAUGUGAGGGGUGUUCACAGAAAUCAUCCCAAAUCUGUACAUAUUUGUGUGCUAGUGUGCUAUUGAGGGAAUUAGAUUGUUUCCUAAUGCUGAGCAAAGUGGCAUAAUGAGACAAUUUUCUGGAUAUUUAUAAUCAAAGACUUCUUUCAACUCUGUUUCUUCCUUCCUUCCUUCCUUCCUUCCUUCCUUCCUUCCUUCCUUCCUUCCUUCCUUCCUUCCUUCCUUCCUUCCUUCCUUCCUUCUUUCCUUCUUUCCUUCUUUCUUUCUUUCUUUCUUUCUUUCUUUCUUUCUUUCUUUCUUUCUUUCUUUCUUUCUUUCUUUCUUUCUUUCUCUCUUCCUUUCUUUCUUUCUUCCUUCCUUUCUUUCUUUCUUCCUUUCUUCCUUUCUUCCUUUCUUCCUUCCUUUCUUUCUUUCUUUCUUUCUUUCUUUCUUUUCUUCCUUCCUUCCUUCCUCUCUUUCUUUCUCUCUCUCUCUCUUUCUUUCUUUCUUUCUAUUUUUUCUUUCUUUAAUUCUUGACAAAAAGAUGUAUGCAUAUAUGUAAAAUUAUGUCUCCCUUAUUUCUAUCUAUCAUUUCUUUCUCCAGAUGAGAACACACAAGUUAUUCUUUAAACAAUAUUUCUGUCAUUGUAUAUAAUGUUCUCUUGGUUCUGCUUGUUUCACUCUUCAUCUUUUUUUUUAAGUAAGUUGCUCCUCAUUUCUUAAGGAACAGUAAUAUACCAUCACAAUCCUAUGAGACAUUUUGUUUAGCCAUUCCCCAACUGAUGGGCAUCCCCUCAAUUUCUAGUCCUUUGCCACCACAAAAAGAGCAGCUAUAAAAUAUUUU
RNAcentral lists this long non-coding RNA (1164 nucleotides) under Monodelphis domestica (gray short-tailed opossum). Its description in RNAcentral is "lncRNA (ENSMODG00000039893.1)". Lineage: Eukaryota; Metazoa; Chordata; Mammalia; Didelphimorphia; Didelphidae. The record is from RNAcentral.